RNAcentral lists this long non-coding RNA (5791 nucleotides) under Nicotiana benthamiana. RNAcentral's name for it is "long non-coding RNA (NBEN_LNC014219)". Lineage: Eukaryota; Viridiplantae; Streptophyta; Magnoliopsida; Solanales; Solanaceae. The record is from RNAcentral.
UUUGAUCUUGAUAAUUCAAGAGAGAUGAUAACCCAGGUAUAGAACGUGAGUUACCUAUAUUAGCUAAAGUUGUAUAAUAGUUAAUAAAAAUAGUUUUUUCAUAAACUUCAUUAUAUUUAUCUGUCAGUAUUCUGAUCAAGUUAAAGGUAAUGGAUACAAUCAAUAUGCUAAUUUAUUUAUAAUUAUUCAUGAUAUUUCAUGUUGCAUCAAUUUGUUAGCGACUUUAACCUGUGAGAAUUGACAAUACAGUCAUAAGAUUUGCAUCCAUCUCGUAUAAAAGUGAAUACUUGUGUAGCAUCAAUCUCCAUUUCUAAUAGAUAGGCUUCUUGUUGUUUGCAAUACAAAGCCCAUAAUAAAGAGCCAUGAGUUCUGCCUAGUUUGGAUUUUUAGCACUAAUAUUCGAAGCAAAACCAAUUAGCCAAUCCCCUUUCUCAUUUUUUACUACCACUCUAAUGCCACCUAUUCCUUUAUUCUUAUUAAAAGCUUCGUCUACGUUAAAUUUAUACCAACACCUACUAGUUUUUUCUCAUUUGAUAGAGAGAGUGGUUUUCCUACUCCAAUUGGAUUCUCUAUUAAUGAGUAACACGUAUUCAACUGAUUGAUUGAUGAUCCUGCUGAGAGAUGAGUAAAUGGUAGUGUUAUUAAUGUUGUUAUAAUUCCAAGUAACCCAAAUGUUCCAGAUAAUAAAGGGGAAUAGGGUGUUCCGAUUGCUUAUCUUAUUAAGAAUAAUGGAAUUUUUUAAUUGGAAAGAAUGAAGCCACGUUGGACUUGAUUGGUGCGGAGAGGAAAAGCUAAUUCCCAGGUUGUUCCAAAGAAUUUUUAUAUUUGGACAAAAUAAAAAUAUGUGCUUAAGGGAUUCAGGUUCCUUACGACAAAUAGUACAAGUUUCAUCUAUGUUCAUGUUAAUAUGGGAAAGAUAUUGUCUAUAUGGCAGUCUAUUAAGGUUGCAAAACCACAUACAGUGCUUAAUUUUGUUAGGGCAUUUUAAUUCUCAAAUCCAAUUACUUUUAAUAUCAGGGUUAAUUUUUCCUUCCAGUAGUUCAUAACAAGACUUAGUUGUAAAUAAGUCGUUUGGGUUACUAUCCCAGGAAAAAGAAUCAGAUUUGGAGUCAUUGAGGAUAAAAAUUGAUUGGAUUUUAGAUCUAAUUUCCUUACAGAUAUAUAAGGAAAUACUACCCAAAUCCCAGCUAGCCCUUGUCCUAAUAUCACAUAUCAUAAGGGAGGAUUCCUUUUUAGAAAGAGGGUCAAUUACGUAGCUUCUAAGGGUUUGUGAGUUUUUAUCCACUUAUUGUCCCAUAAGUUUAAGGUUGAGGAAUUGUGAAUAGUCCAAGAUAACACUUUUUGGCAUAAUUCCCAUCUCCUUAUCAUAUUUUUCCAAAUGAAGGAGCCUUUAUCAAUUGCUUUAUAUGAGUAUUUUUUUUAGAAGAAUUGAGCCCCAAAGAUUAGUUGUAUUAUUAGCUAAUCUCCAUGCUAGGCUGGCUAGUAAGCUUAUGGUUUUUGACCGAACUUUCCUUAGACCAAGCCCUCCUUCCUGUUUAGUUCUAGUAACAAUACCCCAAUUAACUAGGUGACGUUUUUUCUUAUUAUCAGUUGAUCCCAAAAAUUUCUAUGGAUUUGAUCAAUAUUCUUAAGAAUUUCAGGAGGCAGCAUAGAUAUUGCAUGUAGUAAGCAGUAAACUUGCUAGGGUUAAUGUAAUUAGGUACAUCUACCAGCUAAAUUGAGCUUAUCGCUUUUACAUCCUGAGAGCUUACUCCUCAUAGUAUUAAUGAUAAAUUGGUAUUCCUUGUGGCUAGGAUUUUCCAUAAUGAUGGGAAAACAUAAGUAGUUCCCAAAGAAACUGCAUUCCUUAAUGCCGAGGGUAUUAGAGAUAUUAGAUCUAGUUGUUAUACCACAAUUUUCUGAGAAGAUUAUUCUAGAUUUUUUAACAUUAAUAAUUUUCCCAGAGAUGAUACAAAAUUGCUUAAGAGCAAAUUUAAAAGAAGAGGUUGUGUUGAUAUUUUCAUUUCCUAUUAGUGCCAAAUCAUCCACAUAAAACAUAUAAGAUAGUAGGGGACUGUCUUUAUUAAGAGAGAUGGGGUCCCAACUUCUUAUGUCUACUAGAUGAUUAAUAUAAUUUGAUAACAUCCACAUACAUAAAAUAAAGAUAUAGGGAGACAUAGGAUACCUUUACCUAAUCCUUCUACUAGGAUGGAAAUCAUAGUUUUUGUACCAUAGACUAAAACAGAGGUUAAGGAAGUAGUUACACAAGACGUGGUAAGUUCUGAGAUAUUAGGAGGCAACUUGGAGAAGAGUAGGGUCCUAUAUAUGAAAUACCAUUCAAGUUUAUCAAAGGUCUUCUCAAGAUUAAUUUUUAAAAAGAUUUCCCAUUAUUACCUUUUGAUUUUUUGAAGGAGCGAAUGAGCUUUUGGAUGAUAAUAGCAUUAUCAUUAGCUCUCCUAUACUUUAUGAAGUUGUAUUGAAUGGGGAUGAUGGGAUCAUUAAGAUAAGGUUUUAGCUUAUUUGCAAUAAUUUUGGUUACUAUUUUGUAAAUAGUAUUGUAAAGGCUUAUAGGACGAAAAUUAUUAAGGUUGUUAGCAUUAGGAAAUUAGGGAUAAGGCAAAUGAAAGUAGAAUUUAUAUUUAGGAGAAUUGUUUUAUCCCUAAGGACUUUGUGAACGAAAAACCUUACUGAUUCUCGUAUUAUCUUCUAAUAUUUUUGGUAAAAAAAGGAUGUAAACCAUCCGGCCCAGGAGAUUUAAAUUUUUUGAAGGAGAAUAUAGCACUAUUAAUUUUUUCAUCUAGUUGGGGUCUAUCCAGAUUAGAAAGAUCAAUUAUAUGAUAGCUAGUUGAGCUAUGGAUUAUUGUUUUCAUGUUUGUAAUAGUGCGACUAGUACAGAAUAAUUUAGUGAAGUGAUCAAGGGUAUGGUUUAUGAUGUCAAUGUGAUUAUCAAUCCAAGUUCCUUCUCUAUUUUUAAAGAAACUAAUGUGGUUUUUUUCUUUUAAGGGAAGAUGCACUUAUUUGAAAAAAUUGUAGUAUUCGUAUCUCCUUCGUUAAGCCAAGUGAUUCUAGAUCUAAGCUUCCAAUAACCUUACUCUAAUUUGAGAAUGAUGUUAUAGUUAGUAAUUAGAUCCUUUUCUAAACUUUGAAGAAAUGAGCUAGUGCAAAGGUGAGGGAAUUUUCGUAUGCCAUUUAUUCUUGCUAGAAGUAUUUUUUUCCCUAAAUAAGUUACCAAAAUUGUCACUUCCCAAUUUCUUAAUAAAAGUAGUACAUGCAUUAUUUGCCCCCAUAAGGUCAUUAUUUCUCUAGUGGUAUGCAACUAUAGUACCAAAAUUAGGAUGAGUACACCAAAUAUUUUCGACUCUAAAUAUUUUUAUUAUUUGGAAUAGUAUUAUUAAACUUAACUAGGAUGGGCUUAUGAUCAGAAUGUGUUUUAGGGAGGUAGGUAAUGGUAACAUCAGGAAAUUUUUUAAUCAAAUCAUUGUUAGCUAAUAUUCUGUCUAAUCUUUUCAUAAUUAAACCCUUUUUCUUCCUAUGAUUAGACGAUGUAAACUUACUUCCCUUGAAGUAAGGUCAAUUAACUUGCAAGAGUUUAUAUUAUCCCAUAUUUUAGCUACCCUAUUUUUUCUAGAGGUCUUCCUCCAAUUUUUUUAUUUGGGCUAAUAAUAUUAUUUAGGUCACCUCUUAUCAACCAUGGCCUUUUAUAAUUAUGAGAUAUAAUUUUUAAAUUUUCCCAGAUAAUAUCUCAAUGGUGAACUUGUGUACUAGCAUAAAUAGUCGUAAAAAGCCAACUAAAAUUAAAAAGACGAACCUGAAGCAGAGCAUGGAUAUCCUUACUGUUUCUUGUGAAGUGUUCAACUCUAAUCACAUCGUUGUUGUAGAGAAUAGCAUUCCCCCUGACUAACCUUCAACGGGAACCUUAAUGAGUUCAGAGAAAUUAAACUCAUGGAGGAGAGGGGCAUGCACAUGCAUCCUAGUUUCCAAGAGAUCCACCAAACAAGGUUUGCGGGUAUCUAUUAGGGCCAUACAAUUACGAUGAAAUCCAUCAUUGUUGCUCCCCCGUACGUUCCAGAAUACAUUAGUGGUAGCUCUAUUCAUUGGAGGGAGUUGAGGUUGGUUCACCGUGGAUUUCCUUUACACUAAGUUGUGACUCCUCCUUCUUGAUGGAACGGGAUGAUAGCUUGCUUUCCUACGGUGGGAUCUUGUGGUGAACGAAUAUGCAUGAAGCAUUUGUACAUGGUGCCUGGGCAACUGAAGAUGUACUUCUUGCUCCAUAGUUUCGGUAAUAGAAAUAUUUUUACUUCGUUUAGGCUUGAGAAUUCUACACUCGGUUGAGUACCUUGUGGAGUGUGUUCUUCUUCUUCCUCUACUGGAGGUUGUGGAGGACAUUGUUUUGGAGCAUUGUCUUGAAAUAUCUAGAUUGACUACGGCCAUGUUCGGAGGGUUGUUGUUUUCAUUUGUGGCUUGGUAACUCCAGGGCAUGAAGAUUGGGUUGACCAUCGUGCUCUCUACGGAUCUUGAAUAUUAAUUAUAUGAGCUUAGAACUCUAAGUUUUAAUCACUGAAUUCAUUAUCUUGUUUGAGUUUAAGAUUAUAAAUCAAAAUUUUUAUAAUUUCAGUAAAUUUUAUAAAUUUAAUUAAAAAUAUAGGCUUAAAAUUAUGAGGUCAAAAUAAACUUAAUACCUAAUUUGCUCCCCCCAAUUGUCUUAACUUUAUACUAAUAUUUUUGUUCGUACAAUGAUACAUUUAAUUUUAUGUAUUUCAUAGACAAAGGAAUUUAUUGGAUCGAGAAAUGAUAAAAAUAAACAUAAGAGUUAGCAAUAGAAAUAGAAGAAGAUGACAAAUAUGACUACGGGUAUAAUUUCUCCAUGGACAUAAAUUAAAGCAAUGAUUAAGAGAAAAUAAAGUUGUUUAAUAAGAGUAAAAUAUAGCAUAUGUUUUCCAUGAAUUUCUUGCCUUACAUUGGUUGUUGAGCCUUCACUUUAUAACUAUACCUAGGGAAACAAGAUCGUAGGAUCAAGCUUUACUUAAAUGAUAAUAAAGUAGUCAUGCAUGAAUAUGUAAAGAGAGUCCGUAAAUAUAAAUAUUUUCUGUAACAGUUGCUCAAUAAUGAUAGAGAAUAUUCGCUUAUUGAAUGCUAUCCGAUUGCAGAUACUCGAUAUGUUCCCUUUAAUAAUGCUCCCUUUGAAAUUUACCCUAUGUCGAUUGUAAUUAUUAUUCCCGGUACUGGCUUUUACUUGACUCGCAUUUUACUUGUCUUCAGCUCCUCGUGUCAUGCUAUCAUUCGACCAGCUAUUAAAAAAAAAUUCCCAUACAGAUAGUACCUCUACUUGGAUUAUCCUUGUGUUACCAAGAAGUCGGUGAAAAUUCCCUUCUUGCCGGAGAAGCCCCUUAUCAAUCUGUGUGCACGGAAAUAUCGGAGGGUCCAAUUUUCUCGUCAUUAUGAUGCUCCACGGACAUACUUCUCAAGGCUUGAGACAAGGGUCAACGUUCACCUUCAAGGGUAGUCGAUGCUCGACCUCGGGGCAAUGCAGACCAAUGGAUAUAUUGGAAAAGAUGGGAGUGCCCAAGGCACGAAGCUAGUACUGACAGAGUCUAAUAGAAUACUCUAAACCCGAAUCAGAGUGUCAUCUAGUUAUCCCAUCUCCAAUCUUUGUAAUUAAUAUAUUUUGUACUAUGGUUGGAUUCCUUUCCUAUAUAAAGGGGACCCUUGUCAUUUUGUAAAGUUGUUAUUUGCGUUGCUCCACAUAAAAUGUACUAGAAAGUUCUCUCUACACUCUAACACAUUCCCUUGAUAUUGAAGUAUUUACUAUCUU